This is a long non-coding RNA of Corticium candelabrum, 1881 nucleotides long. RefSeq lists it as uncharacterized. Lineage: Eukaryota; Metazoa; Porifera; Homoscleromorpha; Homosclerophorida; Plakinidae. The record is from RefSeq and is a predicted model, not a curated record. The transcript is spliced from 6 exons.
GCUAAGCCGUAUUCUAGGUGACUCACUUAGCUAAACAGACUACGCUAUACCGUACCGCAGCUGUCUGCGAGUUUGCUCCGUUUGAAUUGUCGAGAUUCUUGAAAUAUAGUCAAUGGCGUCUAAACAAAUCAUGACUGACGAAAUAGCAAAUGUUGCAAAGAAGGCUGAUGAAGAAAUAACGGCUGAAGAAAUAGCAAAAGUCGCAAUGAAUACUACGGUAGCAGCUAAUUGGAAAAAUUUGGCGGCUAUUUUGGACGCAGAAUAUUUUGAUAUUGGGAGACUUUCUAUGGUGGCAAGUAGCAGUGGAGACUUAAAUGUUCAAGCACGAACCAUGUUGCAAGAAUGGCACAACAAUCACAGAAAAAAAGCUACUCACCGCAAACUGAUCGAGGCGUUUUUUUGCCUUGGCUGGAAGCUUCAGGCUGAAAACCUUUUUGGAGAAUCGUUAGUGGCAUCUGCUACACAAGGCCAUGAUGAAAUAGAUUUGUGCUAACUGUCAUGACGCUGACAAUCUCUUUGCUGUCUUCAGUACAGUGUGUUGAAACUCUGGACGAACGCUGUUACGUGCAUGCAUUUGCUUGUUUGUUUACUGUCUUGCAAUAGUGCAGCUGUGUGUAGAGCUGCGCUGCUUAGAGUUAUCGUAUUAGAUGCAUUUGCAUUAGAGAGCUGCAUGGAGGAAAUAUGCUUAACUGUAUCUAUAAGACUAAUCUGAGCGGCGCCUUCGAACUCUGGCUAUACCAUCCUGGGCAGAACAUUUGCAUAGACGAACGAAUGCUCCGGUUUAAAGGUACAUCUGGUAUGAAACAGCACAUGCCCAAGACACCCAUCAAAUGGGGGUUAAAGCUAUGGGUUCCAGGGCCGGAUCCAGGAAUUUUUGAAAGAGGGGAUUCACCUGGUAGCAGUUAUUUAUAGCAUUACUAAUUUUCUUUUUUCUAAUGAAAUUAUAUGAAAUUGUUGAACCACGCCCAUUGGAAAAGAGGGGGUUUCAACCCUCUGACCCCCUCUGGAUCCGGCGCUGGGUCCUAGCAACAUCAUGGGACCCAAACUUCCCCUGGGAGCCGGCUACGUUGUUGAUUUUGACGUAUACCUUGGCUCUCAGAAAUGCGCCACCGAGGAAGGCUUGACCUACAGGGUUGUCAUGGAGCUCCUGCAACCCCGCAACCCUGACGCACCUGCAAGGUCUCUCGGCAAAGGUUACCAUCUAUACCUUGACAACUAUUAUUCAUCAAAACAACUUUUUGAAAAGCUGAGAGACAUACACAUACGCAGCUGGCACAAUACGUCGAUUAGGACGUGGUUUUCCACCCCAGCUGAAGGGCAAAUUGUUUGCGGGCAGAAUAGAGGUUCCUGGAGGCGGACCAGGGAUGGACAGUGCCUCUAUGUAGUCUGGAAAGAUAGCGUGGAUUGUGUCUUGCUCACCACCAUACACGCUGGCACGUAUGGUGGCAACAUCGUGGAGCGUAGGAGCAAGGCCACCGGGGGUGCAGCAAAGGAAGUGCCAGCACCUCCAGUCAUUCCAGACUCCAACAAGCUCAUGGGAGGUGUCAACCUCUUCGACCAGAUGAACAGCUUCUAUGCGGUCUUGAGGAAGGUUUUCUGUUGGCCUAUGGUUUACCUCUUCAACUUCCUCGAGACCGCUACCACCAAUUCAUACAUCUUAGAUCGAAGCUGUGGCGAUUUUGCAUAGAUGGGUUGUAUAGUUGAUAUUAAUAGUCACCUACUGUUGCCCUUUGAUUUUCAUGUUGUGAGGCGUGGCCGCAUUCCACGGUAGGUCUGAUACCUUCGCUAUCGAUUUUCGUCAUUAUGCCGUCGAUUUGAACAGUUGACGAAGAGCUCAUCGUGUUAGUGAACUCCUAGGAAGACGUUUCUGACUGGCGAGAA